Cercocebus atys (sooty mangabey) is the source of this 2671-nucleotide long non-coding RNA. RefSeq lists it as uncharacterized. The transcript has 3 exons. Lineage: Eukaryota; Metazoa; Chordata; Mammalia; Primates; Cercopithecidae. The record is from RefSeq and is a predicted model, not a curated record.
CCAGGGGUAGAGCGCAGGCAGAGGGAGGCCCGUGGGCGGUGAGACCCUCCGGUGCCCAGGGCGCAGCGCUCGGCUGGGGCCGACGGGGCGCACGGGCGGACGGUGAUGAACCCGGAAACCCGGGAGCCAGGCUGGGCUGCAGCAGCCUUUGCUUGGACAUCAGAAUGGAGUCCGGGAGUCGCCCCUGCGCGGGCUGACGGAGGAGAAGGGGGCCUGCAGGGGGCAGGAGGGAGCUCCUGGCACAGGGACCCAGGGACUCGGACAGGCGAGCAGGGAGUGAGGCCGGAAGGAGGGAAAGCCAAAACCAGAGGAACAGAAACCAAGAAUAACCAGAAUUUCUGAAGACCUCUUGGAAAUCGGGAAUUCCAACUUCCCAGUUCCAAGGAUAAAAGUUGGCAAUGAAUUCCUUAAGUGGGGCCAUGAACACACCUAAAACUUUCCAACGGACAUCGAGGAGCCCCCAACCGCAUUUCAAGUGCCCCGGCUGGAAGCAGUACCUGUCCAAGAACCUCCAGCCACUCCAGUGGAUUAAAGAAUUCGACUCUGGGACGUGAUGCAUCUCAAGUUCUGUUAACACUCGAAAAAUUUUUGGACCUUCCAACUAAAAAUCACACUCAUGAUUCAAAAUAAAUUACCCAGCUGAAAGAAUGACAGGUUUCUUCCAUCAGUCUCUAAAUUUAUCAGAUUCAUCACCCAAGAUAUGCAGACCUGGUCCCUAAAGUUAAUGCAAAAGUAUUAAGAUGAUGGGAUUGAUUAAGUCCCUCACCCUGUUCUUUAGUUCUAAGCCUUGCAGGAGCUAAAAUGAGCACUUACCCACCAAGAGAACGCUUAGCAUCUGAAAGGAAUUGAGUGUGCCAUCCCAGGAGAACUGGCAUUAACAUCCCAGGAAACCUAAGACUCCAUCUCAGUCAGCUGAGUAUGCAUAUUGGCCAGAGAGUUUUGACCUGGACCUGAACCGCAGGAGGACGGGGACUUCCUUAUAGCAAACUAUGACCUUUCAGUCACCUCCCCUGCCAGCCAACAUUUCACUGAAGGUUUCCAUUCCUUCCACAAUGCUCAGAUUCUUCUGUGGGGUCAGAGAGAGGAGAGUACCUCUUAUAAGGUCUUGCACAAUAUUUCAUCCACUGUUUUCUCUCCUGAGCGCAUGCCAAGUGCAGAGAAGUGCAAAUCCUACACCAGUAAUGGGUCCCCAUUGUGAAAGCUGCCCCCUGUUGAGGACACCGACAUCCUUUGAGGUUGCAUAAGACCACGCUGGAGGAGGGAAUGGCUUAUGCAGAAGCUGAGGACAAGGCACUUUGAAAGGAGGUUGUCCUCCUUUGGAGCCCUGUUCUUGUCUUUGCAAGGUGAUUUCAACAGUUCCGUGUGUGUGUGUGUAUGUGUAAAGAAUGAUUGUGCUUUUCAGAGCAACAGAACCAGAUUAGGGCAAUACAUCAUGAGGACCUCUUGCCAAGUUACUAACAGAGGAAGUCUGUAUCACUGGAGUGGGAUCUUAGGGUGCCUCCGUGUUUUAUGCCUGGAGAAACAAGCACAACAUGCACGAUUACAAACAAAAAAAACUAGGGUUGGCAUUGCCAAAACUGUCACUGAUAACUUCUUUUUCCAGCUGUACUGUUUGUGCACACAUUUGUCCUGCUUGUUUGGAAAUAGGAAUGGAGAUAGAACAUAGAGUGCAAGUAAUCUUAGUUAUAAGCAUUUUGCUCAGUAUUUCUUAAACUUCCAUGAGUACUAUUGUUGAGUAAAACAAUUUGUUGCUUAGUAGGUGCUAUUAAUUUUAAAUAAAUUAAUUAGGUUUUAUACUUCGUAUUUUAAACUUCAUUCAUUCAUUCACUGGUAUUUUCAGUGGGGAGUUAUAAACACACACAAAAAGACUUAGAACCUUCUUCCUGGAUUAUCUACUGAAACUGCCCCUCUAGCUUUCCUCAGGCCCCCAGCCCGGAUUCUCCCAACUAAGAAUCCCUCCGGGAGGCUGUUGCAAACUGAGACCUUCUGCUCUGCAGUAACCAAGUGGGGAGGGAGUUGCUUCCUGGCAUUUUGAUUAUGAGAACCAUGAGUUUAAAUCUCAUGCCUUCAACCAGUUGUGACUUCGCCACCGAGUUGCAGCAAGGGUUUCACCUUGACAUGAACAGUCACUGGGGGUGAGUGCUCCAUCCCUCCUCCCCAUCUCUCAAGUUUGCCCCCGAGGUCCACAGCAGAUAAGGUCACACCAGAAAAGGUAUCCACCUCAUCUGGUGUGGACUUCUGGGACAAUCCUGAGAGACUGCUCACAACAGGGAAUACAUUCUCAGCUGAUUUUUUGAAGGCAUGUGUGGUGCCCUAGAAGACACUCAGUUCAGCCUUGACUUCCAUCAGUGAAGUCUUUUAAGGGAGAUGCUCCUCCUUAUUAAAUCCAUGUUUCCCUGGGGGUACUCCCUGGACCUGGAAGGCUGAGCUCAUCUGCAGUGUUUGUUUAGAAAUGGAAAAUUCCAGGUCUCUGUCCAGAAAUACUCUCUGAGGGUAGAAUCUUACUUUUAAAUAAAGCACUUCUUAAGUACAGUGAAGUUUAAACAUCACUACCGUAAAACAAACAAACAAACAAACUACAGCUGAUGUUCAUUGUUCAAGGUAGUUCUGUUCUGCAAACUCACUGCAAACACUGAAUUCACAAAUACUGAACCACUGACCUUAGGGAAAA